CCUCAUGGCUCAGUUGGUAAGUCAUCUGCCUGCAAUGCAGGAGGCCCAGGUUCAAUUCCUGGGUUGAGAA
RNAcentral lists this transfer RNA (70 nucleotides) under Bos taurus (domestic cattle). It matches the Rfam family "tRNA". From Rfam's summary of the family: Transfer RNA (tRNA) molecules are approximately 80 nucleotides in length. Their secondary structure includes four short double-helical elements and three loops (D, anti-codon, and T loops). Lineage: Eukaryota; Metazoa; Chordata; Mammalia; Artiodactyla; Bovidae. The record is from Rfam by way of RNAcentral. RNAcentral also lists the same sequence under 4 other names.